RNA transcript from Gastrolobium bilobum, 2527 nucleotides. It is a transcript of the gene named heat stress transcription factor A-2c-like, with no coding region annotated. Lineage: Eukaryota; Viridiplantae; Streptophyta; Magnoliopsida; Fabales; Fabaceae. The record is from RefSeq and is a predicted model, not a curated record. The transcript has 4 exons.
ACUUCAUAGUUGUGGAUAGGGAAAAUAAACAAUUCUUUUUAACGGCAUAAACGACUUUCCUUCCCAACAAAGAAGAAAACAGAGUCAUCUGUAUUUUUAUCUGACAAACAAAAUCCUAACCUUCACUGUUUCUUAAUGUUUCAAUCAUCAUUACUUACAACCUUCUCUCCAACCUCAUUUGGAUUAUGCUGUUCAAGCUGGGUUUUCAAUACUUUUGCAAUUUUCUGCUCUCAAAUUUGCUUAUGUGCAAGUUUCUUCACUGAACAAAUAAGGCUGGUAUAGAAUUAUCAAUCUGCAUAGGAAGAAGCAUAAAUAACAGAAUUCAGAUAUCAGAACCCACUAAGCUUUACCAGGAGAAUUUGAAAAUGAAUUAUAUGUACUCAGUGAAAGAAGAAUACUUAGAACCACCACCACCACCACCAUCAUCAUCAUUUCAAUCAGGAGGUGAAUUCCCACCAAUGAUUCCACCACCCCAGCCAAUGGUGGGGCUUCAUGACAUAGGACCCCCUCCAUUCCUCACCAAAACUUUUGAUGUGGUGGACGACCCAACAACCAAUCACGUGGUUUCAUGGAGCAGAGGUGGCACCAGCUUUGUGGUUUGGGAUCCACAUGCCUUCUCCUUAGAUCUUUUACCCAGAUACUUCAAGCACAACAAUUUCUCGAGCUUUGUUAGACAACUAAACACUUAUGGUUUUAGAAAAAUUGAUCCAGAUAGAUGGGAGUUUGCAAAUGAAGGGUUCCUCAAAGGGCACAGGCACCUAUUGAGGAACAUAAGGAGAAGGAAAGCACCUUCCCAGCCUAACCCUUCCCAACAAGUACAAAAUCACUGUGUUCAAGUUGGCCGUUUAGGACUUGAUGAAGAGAUUGAUCGUUUGAGGCACGACAAGCGGUUGUUAAUGUUGGAGCUUGUGAAUCUUAAACAGAAGCAACAGAAUACCAGAAUGUGCCUUGAAGAGAUGGAGCAAAGGUUACAAGGGACAGAAAUCAAGCAGCAACAAAUGAUGGCAUUCUUAGCUAGAGCUAUGAAAAACCCUGCCUUUGUUCAGCAACUACUCCAACAGAAAGAGAAGAGAGAGGAGCUUGAAGAAGCCAUGACCAAAAAGAGGAGAAGGCAAAUUGAGCUAGGAGGUAUUGGAGAAUCAAGCAGGGGUGGUGAAGGAAGGAGCACCGUUAAAGUUGAGCCCUUAGAAUUUUGGGAUUGUGAGUUUGGAGUGUCAGAGUUGGAAGUGCUAGCUAUGGAAAUGCAGGGUUUUGGAAGGGGGAGUAGAGAGGAGGAGGAAGGACUGGAGGUACUAGAACCACAAGAGAGGCUGGACAGAGAACUUGAUGAAGAGUUCUGGGAAGAAUUACUGUUUAGUGAGAAAUUUGAGGGUCAAUUUGACAUUGACAUUCCAACUACUGAAAAUGAAGAUGAAUAUGAAGAUAUCAAUGUAUUGGACAAUGGCUUUGGCUGCUUGCAUUCAAGUCAUUAAGUGAACCACUGAAACCACUGAAUCAAGAUUUAUUAACCCUUUUUCAUUCAGUUCACCAGGUUCCAGUCCGGUCAAAUCAAUAUUUACUCCAAAGGUGGCAUCGUAUGGUGGAGUCAUCCUAAUUGGCAAGACAGUAAAUUUACAAGCAGAAUGGAAUUGAUUUACUUUAAAGUGUUUCUAACUUUAUUAAAUGUCCUUGUUGUAGCACUUGGUAAAACCCUGAAUUCUCACUUUUCUUGAUGUUUGAUGAGGUAGGUUGCUGCUGGUUCUUGGACAAGAAUAUUUGGUAGUGAUAGCUGGUCAUUAUUUAUCUCAAGAUUAUUCAGAAGAUGUAGAGUGCAGAGAAGUAGCUCAUCUCCAACAAUCAUUACUGAAUGUUGCUUAUCAAAAGCCAGUUGGUGGUUAACGUUUGAUGCUUGAUGCCAUUCUCAAUCAUUCGUAAAGUAGAAGAUUCAGUUGAACAACAUGAAGUGGUUGGGGGUCAUUGUUUCGCGCUGAGCCACUGAUCAUUUACAGAUGUUGAGAUAUAUAAAAUAACCAUUAAUAUAGUUUCACUCCACAGCUUAAGCUUUUGGGUUGAAUUGGUUCUUUACAACAUAUUAUUCUAGUCUUUAUUUCAAAGGAGGAACUAGGAUAAGGAGUGGAGCAAAACGUGGCUAGCUAAUUCUAUUAUGUUUGGAAGUUUUGGAGAGCAUUGGAGGGACAAGGGUCUCAGAUCAGGGGUGUGCAAAAAAACUGGUUCACUUGCCCUGCCCUUGAUCUGACCUUGACCCGACCCAUAAAUACUCAUAUUUUUUGAACUGGUUUAAAUACUGAUCCAUUUUUAUUUGGGUCAGUUUUAGACCUGACUCGUUUUAAUAUUGACCCACUGACCCAAAACUUGACCCAUACCCAUUAUGUGAAAAAAAAAUCACAAUUACGUCAAAAUUUUUGACGAAAAAUAUUUUCAUCAAAAUUUGUGACUAAAAACAUAUCGGUAAAAAUAUUUGACGGAAUAUUUUUUUUGUCAAAUUUUUUUACGGAAUCUAAAUUUCGUCAAAAUAUUUCAUAAAAAA